RNAcentral lists this ribosomal RNA (736 nucleotides) under Warnowia sp. 5 AR-2015. RNAcentral describes it as "LSU rRNA". It matches the Rfam family "Eukaryotic large subunit ribosomal RNA", at positions 35 to 660 of the family's 3401-position model. Lineage: Eukaryota; Dinophyceae; Gymnodiniales; Warnowiaceae. The record is from RNAcentral.
UAAGCAUAUAAGUAAGCGGAGGAUAAGAAACUAAAUAGGAUUCCCUUAGUAAUGGCGAAUGAACAGGGAUGAGCUCAACAUGGAAAUUGUGGCUUCUGGCUUUGAAUUGUAAUCUCAAGAUGUAUUGCUAAUGGGGGCGUAGAUGUAAGCCGCUUGGAAAAGCGAAUCAUUGAGGGUGAGAAUCCUGUUUGUCAUCUGCAGACCUCCGUGUACGGCAUACUUUCUAAGAGUCACGUUCCUCGGGAUUGGAGCGCAAACUGGGUGGUAAAUUUCAUCUCAAGCUAAAUAUGGGUUCGAAACCGAUAGCAAACAAGUACCAUGAGGGAAAGAUGAAAAGGACUUUGAAAAGAGAGUUAAAAGUGCCUGAACUUGCUGAAAGGAAAGCGGAUGGAACCAGUGUUGCUUGGUGAGAUUGUUGUGUGCUACGGUGAUAUCUCGCUGCAUCAACGCAAGUGGUGCUGUGGGUUCUGAUCUGGACGCACGCGAUGCUUCUUGCCUUGUGUGUCACCGUCGGUUUGGGGGUGAGGACAACUCUUGGGACAUGGUAGUUUGGCCUCGGCUGAGCGAAUGUGCCUUGCAGGACUCACUUUCAAACCGCAAACGUUGAUGUGAGGUUGUGCAGCCUUGUCUUCCUGCGUUUCCUGUGCUAGCACAGGUUCACGUGUGUGCGAGUAUUGGGCACCUUCCUGACAUUUCUAAUGGUGACUAAAUGGUUCUAUUCGACCCGUCUUGAAAC